GAUGACGUCGACUACCUGCCACCGUCACGUAGGAGGAGAAAAAGGUAAAACCUGGGGAAGGGGCAUGGUUGAGUAGCCCAUCACCCUUCUCUACAAUGACCAUCAGCCUCCAAUGCAUCUUGGACUGGAAACGGAAUGCAGCUGGACCGGUGCACGGUGGUGGUGAUGGACCUACAAAGGCCGAUAAACGGGGGCAAAGUCGACUCUCCGUCGUUACGAUUCUAGGAGAAAAGAACCCGGAGAGUUAGAACUGGGAACGAACAAAAAGAAGACCACGAUUUGGCGGGUUUCUUGUCUUAGCAUAUCUACCUAUUUCUACGUUCGCAAUUUGUUCAAGGAUUCAGGAUAAUCGUUGAAGUAGUUCGAGGGAAAUAAACGAAACUACAAUACAGAGUUGUGAGCCUUGAGUGAGGUCUGUCAAACAGGCGAGUCACGGAAAAUUUUCAAGUGUACAGCAUCGCAGUACUUGGAAUACCGAAACCUCGGCACGUACGCUGGAAGAUCUUGAAUUUAGAUUGACUGACAGGCAAUACUGAGCAACCUAUGUUACGUCGUACACGUACAGCAUCAUCAAACGAUGAAUUAUUGGAGAUCUGAAAAUGUCACAUGCAUGUGUAGCCAAGAUUUGGCAGUAUGGAGAACGUCGAAUGCAUUUUUUACUGGAGAAUAAUAAAUUCGCGUCAAGUUCAUCGGCUGGAAGUCUUCAACACAAACGCAUGAUGUCGAGCAGCACAAGAUGAAUGAACACUGCAAAUCACACGGAUUUCAAUGGAAGAAGGUCCUUAAUAAGUGGCACGGAAGACAUAUAACAGUGAUCAAGCGUUUAUCGUUAAACUGAGCAGAUUCAAAAUAUCUGAAAAUGUGCUUAAACGAUUUGCUUGGGAAACCACGUUUAGUUCAAUUUAGUUGACGUUAAUUGGAUCGUGGAGGUGAAAAUUUAUGUGCGUGAUAUUGAUGGGUGUUAAUUAGUUAAUUAGUUAGUACGUUACCCUAUAAUCUGCAUAGUAUCAUCAAUCAUGUAUUUCUAAUUAAAUAUUUUGUACUGAUAUGAAUAUGGGAAAUGAUGACAAAACUAUGUUGUAUGAAUGCUCUCUGAUUAAUUAUUGAUACGAAGGUCGCGACGAGUCUGAAAACGCGUCUCAAACUGAUUCUAGGACCAUUGGUUUUUCGCCGCAACAGACACGGAAUGAAUCUAACUCCUGUAAGAUUUUUACGGACAAAGUUUAGCUACUUAUUUUUUUCGAUAGAGAACCGUUGCGUAGUCUGAGCUCACCGCGAACGGCGUAUUACAAUAUGUCGUGAUUUUUGCCCAAAAUUUUGACAAUUUUUGAUAACGCUGGAAACAAUUCUUUCAUGCACUUUCAUACACACGUAAUUUUGAGAUAAAAAUCGAUUGCGCGCAGUCCGAACACGCCGCGCGCAAUGGGUCAAGAGAUUCAGCCGACAAACAAGAAAAUCUUGCGGUAUUAUCAGUUGUUGGUCCUUUGCGAUUGUAUGUACCCAUUCUUCAUUUUCGAGGGUCCGAUUGGAGUACAAACUUCGCAAAGACAGCAAGUUUUACCUAACAAAGAAAGGUUCAGAAGUACCAUCCAAAAUACAAAGAAAAUUUUGACUGGGUUUCGACAAGGUGAUAGAGAAAAGUCAUAAAUUCAUGGCUCAAAGUUUCGAUUUAUUCCGUAUGACUUAAUUCUAGUACAAGUGUUCCUGUGUCAGUGUGUAGUUAUUUAAUAGGUUAACAGAUAGAGCUGGAGUUGAAAACUAAGGAAAAGCAAUAAUAUCAUUGAAUAUGUGAUCAGUAAUCUAAUUAUUGGAUGAGAAAAUAUGUGUGCAAUAUACACUGUCAUGGGCAGACCAUGAAAAAUAUUAUAUCGGAUGAUUAUAAUCAUAGUUUGAGUACACAGCUCAAAUUUCGGCAGAGGUACGCUAGCGAGAAAUGUAUGCACGAACGAUGAAUGUUGUAUAAUAUUGUAUCG
This 1973-nucleotide long non-coding RNA is filed under the name Neodiprion pinetum (white pine sawfly). RNAcentral's name for it is "uncharacterized LOC124211599, transcript variant X1". Lineage: Eukaryota; Metazoa; Arthropoda; Insecta; Hymenoptera; Diprionidae. The record is from RNAcentral.